GCACUGCUUUAGAGCCUCUGCGUGUCUGGCUGUGGCCUCAGGGGUCUAGCAGCAGUGCUAGAGCAGACCCAGCUUGUCAGAUCCGGGGCUGCUUUAGAGGCCACCUAAGCGAUUCCUUUGGCAGCAAGCAACAUUC
Small nucleolar RNA from Pongo abelii (Sumatran orangutan), 136 nucleotides. The record is from Ensembl. Lineage: Eukaryota; Metazoa; Chordata; Mammalia; Primates; Hominidae.